GAAUGAGCAGAAUAACAGUGAAUCAUCGUAAUCUUUGCAACGCACCUUGCCGCUCCUUGAGUAUUCCGAGGRGCAUGCCUGUUUGAGUGUCAUGAAAUCCUCAACCYGCUCCUCUCUUCUUAUCUAUAAGGAAAUAGCGGGCUUGAGGAUAUCUGGAGGUGUGCUGGUCGUCUCCCCAGUAACACCCGGCCUCCGUCGCAAAGAUGCUAUCUAGACAGGAACCAUKGC
RNAcentral lists this unclassified non-coding RNA (228 nucleotides) under uncultured fungus. Its description in RNAcentral is "partial contains 5.8S rRNA and ITS2". The record is from RNAcentral. Lineage: Eukaryota; Fungi.